UGAGGAAUAUUGGUCAAUGGUCGCUAGACUGAACCAGCCAAGUAGCGUGCGGGAUGAAGGCCCUCCGGGUCGUAAACCGCUUUUAGACGGGGAUAAAAGGGCGUACGUGUACGCCGUAUUGCAUGUACCGUCAGAAAAACGGACCGGCUAAUUCCGUGCCAGCAGCCGCGGUAAUACGGAAGGUCCGGGCGUUAUCCGGAUUUAUUGGGUUUAAAGGGAGCGUAGGCGGACUUUCAAGUCAGUGGUAAAAUCGUGUGGCUCAACCAUACCUCGCCAUUGAAAACUGGAAGUCUGGAGUGCACACAGGGGUGCCGGAAUUCAUGGUGUAGCGGUGAAAUGCUUAGAUAUCAUGAAGAACUCCGAUCGCGAAGGCAAGUGCCCGGGGUGCAACUGAUGCUGAGGCUCGAAGGUGCGGGUAUCGAACAGGAUUAGAUACC
Molecule: ribosomal RNA, 437 nt
Filed under: uncultured bacterium
Lineage: Bacteria
Description: bacterial SSU rRNA
Rfam family: Bacterial small subunit ribosomal RNA
Source: RNAcentral